UGUAAGUUGUUUGACAUGCUUCAUACGUACAUUAUGCAGUUGUAGAAUUUAUUUAAAGUCAAGGAAAGGAAAUCUGUAAUCCACAUAAACACAUACCUAUUGAAAACGGGCUUUUGUAAAAAAAAAAAAAAUAAUAAUGAAUGCACUGAUAGUUCUUUUUUUAAUCAGAGGUCUGCAAUGAAAAUCGACCGAUACCCGGGGGUCGGGCUAGUGGUUUUCUGCAAGUAGGUCGCCCCAUUGGCCAGUAAAAAAGAUUAUAUUAUUUAUACACAUGCAAUACAUGCAAAGCACACCUGAGUUCAGAUACCACUGAAAGUGAACAUCAGUGGAACUUUGAUGAUCUAGGCCACUCUAUUGUUGCAGCAACACCAGCAGGCGUCGGACAUUCAUAAAGUUGAAAGAACAAACCUAUGACUUGAACACACAAUUUGUGAUCUGAAUAUAGUUCACAAAUUUAAGGAAAGCAACUAUUAAAGACAUCCAGAUCAAUGGUAUACAUGAAGUAUGAGUUAAAGACUUUUCAGAAGAACAAGCACAAUCCCGAUUCAUUCUUGCCAUUGCCUUCUCCAGACGGCGACAUUCAGGACCU
Saccostrea cuccullata (small rock oyster) is the source of this 589-nucleotide long non-coding RNA. RefSeq lists it as uncharacterized. The transcript is spliced from 3 exons. The record is from RefSeq and is a predicted model, not a curated record. Lineage: Eukaryota; Metazoa; Mollusca; Bivalvia; Ostreida; Ostreidae.